Molecule: small nuclear RNA, 164 nt
Filed under: Rhinolophus ferrumequinum (greater horseshoe bat)
Lineage: Eukaryota; Metazoa; Chordata; Mammalia; Chiroptera; Rhinolophidae
Description: U1 spliceosomal RNA (ENSRFEG00010005176.1)
Rfam family: U1 spliceosomal RNA
About the family: U1 is a small nuclear RNA (snRNA) component of the spliceosome (involved in pre-mRNA splicing). Its 5' end forms complementary base pairs with the 5' splice junction, thus defining the 5' donor site of an intron.
Source: Rfam by way of RNAcentral
AUGCUUACCUGGCAGGGGAGAUACCAUGAUCACGAAGGUGGUUUUCCCAGGGCGAGGCUUAUCCAUUGCACUCCGGAUGUGCUGACCCCUGCGAUUUCCCCAAAUGUGGGAAACUCGACUGCAUAAUUUGUGGUAGUGGGGGACUGCGUUCGCGCUCUCCCCUA